CAAGGAAUUUUCGUCAAUGGGCGCAAGCCUGAACGAGCAACGCCGCGUGCAGGAUGACGGCUUUCGGGUUGUAAACUGCUUUUUGGGGGACGAUCAUGACGGUACCCCCGGAAUAAGCCCCGGCUCACUCUGUGCCAGCAGCCGCGGUAAUACAGAGGGGGCAAGCGUUGUCCGGACUUACUGGGUGUAAAGCGCAUGCAGGUGGCUGUGCAAGUAUGCUGUGAAAGCCCCGUGCUUAACACGGGGAGGCCAGUAUAGACUGCACGGCUCGAGGACUGCAGAGGGUAGGGGAAUUGCUGGUGUAGUGGUGAAAUGCGUAGAGAUCAGCAGGAAUACCAAUGCCGAAGGGACCUACCUGGGCAGUAUCUGACACUCAAGUGCGACAGCGUGGGGAGCGAACCGGAUUAGAUACCCGGGUAGUCCACGCCGUAAACGAUGGAUGCUCGGCGUUUGGGGGAGAAAAUCCCCCGUGGGCGCCUCAG
This 482-nucleotide ribosomal RNA is filed under the name uncultured bacterium. Its description in RNAcentral is "bacterial SSU rRNA". It matches the Rfam family "Bacterial small subunit ribosomal RNA", at positions 355 to 851 of the family's 1533-position model. The record is from RNAcentral.